AUACGUAGGUGGCAAGCGUUGUCCGGAUUUACUGGGUGUAAAGGGUGCGUAGGCGGGUAGGCAAGUCAGGUGUGAAAUACCCGAGCUCAACUUGGGUGCUGCAUUUCAAACUGGAUAUCUAGAGUGCAGGAGAGGAAAGCGGAAUUCCUAGUGUAGCGGUGAAAUGCGUAGAGAUUAGGAAGAGCACCAGUGGCGAAGGCGGCUUUCUGGACUGUAACUGACGCUGAGGCAUGAAAGCGUGGGGAGC
Molecule: ribosomal RNA, 247 nt
Filed under: uncultured bacterium
Lineage: Bacteria
Description: partial 16S ribosomal RNA
Rfam family: Bacterial small subunit ribosomal RNA
Source: RNAcentral